Molecule: ribosomal RNA, 249 nt
Filed under: uncultured bacterium
Lineage: Bacteria
Description: partial 16S ribosomal RNA
Rfam family: Bacterial small subunit ribosomal RNA
Source: RNAcentral
CCGGAUGGCGACCGGCGCACGGGUGAGUAACACGUAUCCAACCUGCCGAUGACUCGGGGAUAGCCUUUCGAAAGAAAGAUUAAUACCCGAUGGCAUAGUUCUUCCGCAUGGUGGAACUAUUAAAGAAUUUCGGUCAUCGAUGGGGAUGCGUUCCAUUAGGUUGUUGGCGGGGUAACGGCCCACCUAGUCUUCGAUGGAUAGGGGUUCUGAGAGGAAGGUCCCCCACAUUGGAACUGAGACACGGUCCAA